CAUUACAAAUUGCAAUGGAUGGAUUUUCUCUGUAUCUUUUCUUAUCCUCAAAAUUCCUUUCCCGGAAGAAAAGUCUUUAGCUUCAAACUGAACAAAACCCUCUUCACAGAGAAAUGUUACAAAACCCCAAACUCCUCCAAAUCCAAUCCUCCCUUAAGCUCCAUUCUCUAAUACCACCAACACAUUUUCAAAGCAUACCCACUUGCCCUAUCAUCAAACAAUGUUGCAAGUUGUCUCGCAGAGAGCUUGCAAUUUUCAGCAAUUCUUCAUUGCUUCUUCUUCUCAGCUCUCAAUCUCUAGAACCAUUUAACCUGUCAAAAGCAAAAGCUGAAGAAAAUUUGCCAGGAACCAGUAAAAUUGAUCAGCCAGAAGAGAAAACAGGGACUAAUCCAAACUGCAGCAACCAAACUCCAACUAAGCAAGCAUUUCUUGAUAUAUCCGUUGAUGGAGAACCUGUUGGCCGCAUUAUUAUUGGAUUAUAUGGAGAGGGUGUCCCUGCUGGAGCUGCUAGGUUCAGUAAUCUUGUGAGUGGAGCUGCUGGUAUUAGCUACAGAAGAAAAGAGUUCAUCAAAAUCAUGCCAAACUAUGUGCAACAUGGUGGGGUGAGAUCUUAUGGUGUGGAUGCUGAGCUUGCAAGUAGAAAAGGAAGUAACUUGGCAGUUGAAAGCCUCGCAGAUGAAUUGGAGAGACAGAGUGAGUGUUCAGGGAUCAAGAAUUCGGCUGGGACUGUUAGCAUAAUUGUGAGGGAUCCAUUGAAACCUCCUCCAAAGUUGAAGUUGAUUGCAAGGAAUGGGAAGUUAGAGAUUGAUAAAGAAAAGGUGGGAACUGAUCCAAAUGGUACCGAAUUCGUGAUCGCCACUGGGGAUUCACCGGACCUGGAUGACUCAAAUCUGGUGAUUGGAAGAGUACUAGAAGGUAUGGAGGUUGUGGAGAGAAUUGGACGAGUGAAGACAGUCCAAGAGAACACUGGUUCCCCCUAUUUCAGGUAAGUCAAUUCUCUGGCAGUUCUCUCGCAGAACAUUGUUCUGUAUAAACAGAAAUGCUAAGCUCAUAAAACAAGAUCACCUUUUAAGAAUUCAUUGCAUAAUCACAGAGUUAAUAAACAGUAAAAUUAUUUCUUUUUUCUGGUGAGCAGAGUUGCAAAGCUUAUAGGAGACAAGAGGGCUGUUGUUGCAGAAAGAGGCUUUAACAGACCUUAUUCAAAGGUGAUUGUCACCAAUUGUGGCUUGAUGGAAUAACACCAAAUUCUUCUUGUAAUUUCCCCCCUGCCAAAAUCUCACAUCAAUAUUUAAGAAUGCAAUCUGUCCUGCCAAUGUUACAGUUUAAUUCACAAAAUACUUUAGGUUGUAAAAUUUGAAGGCUGCUGCCAUGCCAAGCCUAGUGAUACAACAGUCAACAAUUGCAUGGUAUGAAUACAUAAUUUCUAAGGUCACAGUACCUUGAUCAUGGAAAUGGGUGAAGGAGAUUUGUAGAAAGGCUAGAAUGCACUUUUGAUGAAAUAAAGCAGAUAAUGCUUGCUUCCAACC
RNAcentral lists this unclassified non-coding RNA (1526 nucleotides) under Hevea brasiliensis (rubber tree). Lineage: Eukaryota; Viridiplantae; Streptophyta; Magnoliopsida; Malpighiales; Euphorbiaceae. The record is from RNAcentral.